CCAGACUCCUACGGGAGGCAGCAGUGGGGGAUAUUGCACAAUGGGGGAAACCCUGAUGCAGCGACGCCGCGUGUGGGAAGACGGUCCUCUGGAUUGUAAACCACUGUCCCCAGGGACGAAGAUGACGGUACCUGGGGAGGAAGCUCCGGCUAACUACGUGCCAGCAGCCGCGGUAAUACGUAGGGAGCGAGCGUUAUCCGGAUUUACUGGGUGUAAAGGGGGCGCAGACGGCAGCGCAAGCCAGGAGUGAAAGCCCGGGGCCCAACCCCGGGACUGCUUUGGAAACUGAGCAGCUAGAGUGCAGGAGAGGUAAGUGGAAUUCCUAGUGUAGCGGUGAAAUGCGUAGAUAUCAGGAGGAACACCGGUGGCGAAGGCGGCCUGCUGGACUGCGACUGACGUUGAGGCCCGAAAGCGUGGGGAGCAAACAGGAUUAGAUACCCCGGUAA
Molecule: ribosomal RNA, 446 nt
Filed under: uncultured bacterium
Lineage: Bacteria
Description: partial 16S ribosomal RNA
Rfam family: Bacterial small subunit ribosomal RNA
Source: RNAcentral